UGCCCUUAUCGACAACCUGAGCCU
Molecule: non-coding RNA, 24 nt
Filed under: Arabidopsis thaliana (thale cress)
Lineage: Eukaryota; Viridiplantae; Streptophyta; Magnoliopsida; Brassicales; Brassicaceae
Source: RNAcentral